This is a long non-coding RNA of Xiphophorus hellerii (green swordtail), 1005 nucleotides long. RefSeq lists it as uncharacterized. Lineage: Eukaryota; Metazoa; Chordata; Actinopteri; Cyprinodontiformes; Poeciliidae. The transcript has 3 exons. The record is from RefSeq and is a predicted model, not a curated record.
CGUACCAGAAAUAAAUACGUAGAACAUCUCUUAACAAAUGUACAAAUGUAUUCUAUGCCAUACAUAUACAUCUGCACCGUUUUUUUAUAUUAGUUUCAUGCAGAUCAUCAAUAUUUCAAAUUUUGAAAAUAUAACCUCAUCCAACACUGAAGCACUUGUAAGCAGCUGAAUAUAAGUGUAGUAACUCGGCUGAAUCCUUAAAAUAUUAAUAUUUCUGUUACUUCAUUAUGAGCAAACCACAUUUCUCAUUACUUCCAUGUGAUGACUUACAUUUUUGGACAGAUAAUAUGUUAAGUUGUGCUUCACAUUAACUAAAUUGUAAUUGUAGCCAUCUAGUGAAAUUAUAUUUCUAUUGUCCCCAAAAAGUGCUAAUAAUGUCAAACUUAUGAUAAAUUACUGUAUUGACAGUGUAAUGGUCAACUUUAACAAACUGUUCUUUAAUUCAUUUUUAUCUGUUUUGAAGGACUUGCUGACGCUCAUUUAAGAAAAUGGAGAGAGAUCAACAAGAUCAGUGGGAUAGAGAGGUUGUGGCGUGAUCUGUGGAUGGGAGUCACAUGUGUUUUCUACAAUGUUCUACACCAACUGGAGGAGGAAAACCUCUUGGAUCUUAGCAAUCCUCUGCACUUGUUUUGCUGUCAUUAUGUUUUCUUGCCUCGCUUGAAAGUGAAUCUUGACAUAUUUAAACAAGGAUGGGACAAUCACCCAAUGAGAACUGAACAAAACCUCACUCCAAAUCAGUUGUGGGAACUGGGACAGAUCGGACAUUCAGUGGUUGACCCAGAGAUUCCCCAUAUAAACUGGGAGGAAAGUGGGCUUGUUCCUGAUCCACAUGCUGAAUUGCGAGUACCAGAGUUGGACAGCCCACUUACAGAAGAUCAGAUGGAGCUUCUCCGUGAAAACAUUGACCCCCUACAACCUUCAGAGUCUAGUGGCAUGGACAUUUACAUGGAUACUCUGCAAUAUUUGGAAACUUUACUUGUGACAAAUUAGAUGUCACUUAAAUUU